AGUUUGAUAUUGUCCUUUUAGACGGCGGCAAGCACUACAUCUCCCCAAGAAAUUUUAUGGUGGUGUUGGGAACGGAGCCCAGGCUGCCUGCGCCCCAGCCUGAUGUUUGGCUGUAAAAUAACACCACCUUCGUUAGCCAGAGGAUGACUAAGCUGUCCUCGUAGCAUUCUGCGAUGGUAAAUCUUCCUCCUCCCACUGAUGAUGGUUGUGUUCACGGUACCCAACUGAUUGCCAAAAGUUAGCAGACAGGGCAACAUCGGAGAGUCUUGUACCAGCCUGUGGAAAUGGUUGGAAAAAGUCAACUUUUCUGAUGGUUAGAAGAGCAGGAUUGUUUACCCUCUUCCUUUAGCUGUGUCUUCAGUUAAGAGGCUCACAGAAUCGCUGAGGUUGGAAGGCACCUCUGGAGAUCGUGCAGACCGACCCCUGCUCGGAGCUGGCUGCCCUCAGCCUCCGUGUUGCCUGAUGCUUGGACUGUAUAGUUAGGAAAAUCCAGAAUUCAGUAUUCUUGAUGGGGAGAGCACUGCUGAAGGUUAAGAAAACAACACACCUAAGUUAUUUAAUAUGUUGAAAUCCUGAUGUGUACACACUCAUCCUCCUGCUGAGCUUAAUGGAAAUGUGUGUGUAUUCCUCUGACCUAGGACACCGUUUAGUCACUGUCUUUGUAUUCUUAUAAAUGUAAAGUGUCUUGAUUGUAAUAGAACUAUUUAUUUUGCCUCUUUUUCCCCUUUCAUCACUGAUUCCCUUUUCUACCCUGAAGAGAAUUAAAUUUCCUACCUGUAAACUCAACUGCUGUUGCAGCAAGUUGAAAGACAGGAUGCU
Molecule: long non-coding RNA, 819 nt
Organism: Cygnus olor (mute swan)
Lineage: Eukaryota; Metazoa; Chordata; Aves; Anseriformes; Anatidae
Exons: 2
Source: RefSeq, a predicted model, not a curated record